AAAGAACAGUCAGUCACGACGGAACUUGCAAAACAAACUUGUCAAUGACGGAAAGUUGCAUUGAGUGGAGAGGCUGGCGACGGUUCAUUCAGUUGCCCACCGCACGAGGAUGUGCUGGAUGUCCUUUGUUUGGUCUAUUCAAGCUUAUGCUGAGGAAGAAAAGACAGUGAUAGAGGUCAGACAAAAGCCAGAGGAGAAAACCAUGAGCCACUCAGCCAAUCACUAGACAAAAACACUCCCUGGAUACCAAAGAACCUCUCCGUGGCAAUGACACUGAAACAUCCAUCACAGGACACUACUUGGGCAUUCACAGGCAGAUGAGAUUCUCUCCGAAAGACCCAGUUCCCGAAGUGUGCGUGUGUGUGGUUCACCAUCCCUCCAAGAAGUCACCACCUUACCUGCAUGGAUCCAACCUCCAUGUCACUCCUCACUACCUGCUCCUCUGCUUGUGUCUCAUUAAUAAAACAUCUU
This is a long non-coding RNA of Carassius auratus (goldfish), 471 nucleotides long. RefSeq lists it as uncharacterized. The transcript is spliced from 3 exons. Lineage: Eukaryota; Metazoa; Chordata; Actinopteri; Cypriniformes; Cyprinidae. The record is from RefSeq and is a predicted model, not a curated record.